CCUACGGGAGGCAGCAGUGAGGAAUAUUGGUCAAUGGCCGGGAGGCUGAACCAGCCAAGUCGCGUGAGGGAAGCCGGCCCUACGGGUUGUAAACCUCUUUUGUCAGUGAGCAAGAUGCAGGUCGGGACCUGCUGUGAGAGUACCUGACGAAAAAGCAUCGGCUAACUCCGUGCCAGCAGCCUCUGUAAUACGGAGGAUGCGAGCGUUAUCCGGAGUUAUUGUGUUUAAAGGGUGCGAAGGCGGAGGCACAAGUCAGCGGGAAAAUCGCGGGGCUCAACCCCGCUCCGCCGUUUAAACUGUGUCCCUUGAGUGCGCGAAGGGUAGGCGGAAUGCGUGGUGUAGCGGUGAAAUGCAUAGAUAUCACGCAGAACUACGAUCGCGAAGGCAGCCUACCGGCGCGCAACUGACGCUCAUGCACGAAAGCGUGGGUAUCGAACAGGAUUAGAUACCCGAGUAGUC
RNAcentral lists this ribosomal RNA (459 nucleotides) under uncultured bacterium. RNAcentral's name for it is "partial 16S ribosomal RNA". It matches the Rfam family "Bacterial small subunit ribosomal RNA", at positions 338 to 795 of the family's 1533-position model. The record is from RNAcentral.